GGAUCCAGACUUUGAUCAUGGCUCAGGAUGAACGCUAGCUACAGGCUUAACACAUGCAAGUCGAGGGGCAGCAUGAACUUAGCUUGCUAAGUUUGAUGGCGACCGGCGCACGGGUGAGUAACACGUAUCCAACCUGCCGAUGACUCGGGGAUAGCCUUUCGAAAGAAAGAUUAAUACCCGAUGGCAUAGUUCUUCCGCAUGGUAGAACUAUUAAAGAAUUUCGGUCAUCGAUGGGGAUGCGUUCCAUUAGGUUGUUGGCGGGGUAACGGCCCACCAAGCCUUCGAUGGAUAGGGGUUCUGAGAGGAAGGUCCCCCACAUUGGAACUGAGACACGGUCCAAACUCCUACGGGAGGCAGCAGUGAGGAAUAUUGGUCAAUGGACGAGAGUCUGAACCAGCCAAGUAGCGUGAAGGAUGACUGCCCUAUGGGUUGUAAACUUCUUUUAUACGGGAAUAAAGUGAGGCACGUGUGCCUUUUUGUAUGUACCGUAUGAAUAAGGAUCGGCUAACUCCGUGCCAGCAGCCGCGGUAAUACGGAGGAUCCGAGCGUUAUCCGGAUUUAUUGGGUUUAAAGGGAGCGUAGGCGGACGCUUAAGUCAGUUGUGAAAGUUUGCGGCUCAACCGUAAAAUUGCAGUUGAUACUGGGUGUCUUGAGUACAGUAGAGGCAGGCGGAAUUCGUGGUGUAGCGGUGAAAUGCUUAAAUAUCACGAAGAACUCCGAUUGCGAAGGCAGCUUGCUGGACUGUAACUGACGCUGAUGCUCGAAAGUGUGGGUAUCAAACAGGAUUAGAUACCCUGGUAGUCCACACAGUAAACGAUGAAUACUCGCUGUUUGCGAUAUACAGUAAGCGGCCAAGCGAAAGCGUUAAGUAUUCCACCUGGGGAGUACGCCGGCAACGGUGCAACUCAAAUGAAUUGACGG
This 921-nucleotide ribosomal RNA is filed under the name uncultured Bacteroidota bacterium. RNAcentral's name for it is "bacterial SSU rRNA". It matches the Rfam family "Bacterial small subunit ribosomal RNA", at positions 1 to 916 of the family's 1533-position model. The record is from RNAcentral. Lineage: Bacteria; Pseudomonadati; Bacteroidota.